RNAcentral lists this ribosomal RNA (460 nucleotides) under uncultured bacterium. RNAcentral's name for it is "partial 16S ribosomal RNA". It matches the Rfam family "Bacterial small subunit ribosomal RNA", at positions 338 to 795 of the family's 1533-position model. The record is from RNAcentral.
CCUACGGGGGGCAGCAGUGAGGAAUAUUGGUCAAUGGACGAGAGUCUGAACCAGCCAAGUAGCGUGAAGGAUGACUGCCCUAUGGGUUGUAAACUUCUUUUAUAUGGGAAUAAAAUGUUCCACGUGUGGGAUUUUGUAUGUACCAUAUGAAUAAGGAUCGGCUAACUCCGUGCCAGCAGCCGCGGUAAUACGGAGGAUCCGAGCGUUAUCCGGAUUUAUUGGGUUUAAAGGGAGCGUAGGUGGAUUGUUAAGUCAGUUGUGAAAGUUUGCGGCUCAACCGUAAAAUUGCAGUUGAAACUGGCAGUCUUGAGUACAGUAGCGGUGGGCGGAAUUCGUGGUGUAGCGGUGAAAUGCUUAGAUAUCACGAAGAACUCCGAUUGCGAAGGCAGUUCACUGGACUGCAACUGACACUGAGGCUCGAAAGUGUGGGUAUCAAACAGGAUUAGAUACCCUUGUAGUC